AAGUCGUAACAAGGUUUCCGUAGGUGAACCUGCGGAAGGAUCAUUAUCGAGUCUUACUUAUAUUUGGCUUGGAUUGGCUGUGCAUGCUCUUCGGAGCUUUGAACGUCAACUCUGGGUUCCGAAUGUUUGACUUACACACCUGUGCACCUUUGACUCGUCCGAAUCCAUGUAUGUGAUUUGUUUCGCGUACGGUCUGCUCCUCGUGAGUGGGAUUUUUGAGCGUUGCGGUGAGUUGAAAAAUUCAUAGCUCGCUCUGGGAUGAAAGACUUGUCUUUUUUUACACCAUUUUGUAUGUCUCUUGAAAAUCUUCGGUUGCUCUGUAAUGGGGUAAUCGUAUUAAAUUAAAUACAACUUUCAGCAACGGAUCUCUUGGCUCUC
This 378-nucleotide unclassified non-coding RNA is filed under the name air metagenome. RNAcentral's name for it is "partial contains small subunit ribosomal RNA, internal transcribed spacer 1, and 5.8S ribosomal RNA". The stretch from base 1 to 46 matches the Rfam family "Eukaryotic small subunit ribosomal RNA", at positions 1786 to 1831 of the family's 1831-position model. The record is from RNAcentral.